This 107-nucleotide microRNA precursor is filed under the name Mus pahari (shrew mouse). Its description in RNAcentral is "microRNA 6338 (MGP_PahariEiJ_G0006850.1)". The record is from RNAcentral. Lineage: Eukaryota; Metazoa; Chordata; Mammalia; Rodentia; Muridae.
UUGAGUACCCUGGUUUCUCUCAUUUGUGCUUACUGAGUUUCAUAUAGUCACAUAAAUCCAUGUGUACAUGUUAAAUGAAAGUAGAAGAGAGACUCUGUGUGAUGGGG